CUUGGGUACUCGAGUGGCGAACGGGUGAGUAACACGUGGGUGAUCUGCCCUGCACUUCGGGAUAAGCCUGGGAAACUGGGUCUAAUACCGGAUAGGACGAUGGUUUGGAUGCCAUUGUGGAAAGUUUUUCGGUGUGGGAUGAGCUCGCGGCCUAUCAGCUUGUUGGUGGGGUAAUGGCCUACCAAGGCGUCGACGGGUAGCCGGCCUGAGAGGGUGUACGGCCACAUUGGGACUGAGAUACGGCCCAG
RNAcentral lists this ribosomal RNA (248 nucleotides) under uncultured Actinomycetales bacterium. Its description in RNAcentral is "partial 16S ribosomal RNA". It matches the Rfam family "Bacterial small subunit ribosomal RNA", at positions 82 to 334 of the family's 1533-position model. The record is from RNAcentral. Lineage: Bacteria; Bacillati; Actinomycetota; Actinomycetes; Actinomycetales.